GAUGGCGACCGGCGCACGGGUGAGUAACACGUAUCCAACCUUCCGGUUACUCGGGGAUAGGCUUUCGAAAGAAAGAUUAAUACCCGAUGUUGUGUAUCUUUCUCCUGAUUGAUACGCCAAAGGAUUCCGGUAACCGAUGGGGAUGCGUUCCAUUAGGCAGUUGGCGGGGUAACGGCCCACCAAACCUUCGAUGGAUAGGGGUUCUGAGAGGAAGGUCCCCCACAUUGGAACUGAGACACGGUCCAAACUCCUACGGGAGGCAGCAGUGAGGAAUAUUGGUCAAUGGACGGAAGUCUGAACCAGCCAAGUAGCGUGAAGGAUGACUGCCCUCUGGGUUGUAAACUUCUUUUAUACGGGAAUAACAUGAGGUACGGGUACCUUAUUGCAUGUACCGUUAUGAAUAAGCAUCGGCUAACUCCGUGCCAGCAGCCGCGGUAAUACGGAGGAUGCGAGCGUUAUCCGGAUUUAUUGGGUUUAAAGGGAGCGUAGGUGGGAUAUUAAGUCAGCUGUGAAAGUUUGGGGCUCAACCUUAAAAUUGCAGUUGAUACUGGUUUUCUUGAGUACGGUAUAGGUGGGCGGAAUUCGUGGUGUAGCGGUGAAAUGCUUAGAUAUCACGAAGAACUCCUAUUGCGAAGGCAGCUCACUGGACCGGCACUGACACUGAUGCUCGAAAGUGCGGGUAUCAAACAGGAUUAGAUACCCUGGUAGUCCGCACAGUAAACGAUGAAUACUCGCUGUUUGCGAUACACUGUAAGCGGCCAAGCGAAAGCGUUAAGUAUUCCACCUGGGGAGUACGCCGGCAACGGUGAAACUCAAAGGAAUUGACGGGGGCCCGCACAAGCGGAGGAACAUGUGGUUUAAUUCGAUGAUACGCGAGGAACCUUACCCGGGCUUAAAUUGCGCUGGCUUUUACCGGAAACGGUAUUUUCUUCGGACCAGCGUGAAGGUGCUGCAUGGUUGUCGUCAGCUCGUGCCGUGAGGUGUCGGCUUAAGUGCCAUAACGAGCGCAACCCUUAUCUUUAGUUGCCAUCAGGUUUUGCUGGGGACUCUAAAGAGACUGCCGUCGUAAGAUGCGAGGAAGGUGGGGAUGACGUCAAAUCAGCACGGCCCUUACGUCCGGGGCUACACACGUGUUACAAUGGGGAGCACAGCAGGUUGCUACACGGCGACGUGAUGCCAAUCCGUAAAACUCCUCUCAGUUCGGAUCGAAGUCUGCAACCCGACUUCGUGAAGCUGGAUUCGCUAGUAAUCGCGCAUCAGCCACGGCGCGGUGAAUACGUUCCCGGGCCUUGUACACACCGCCGUCAAG
Molecule: ribosomal RNA, 1309 nt
Filed under: uncultured microorganism
Description: bacterial SSU rRNA
Rfam family: Bacterial small subunit ribosomal RNA
Source: RNAcentral